This 1218-nucleotide long non-coding RNA is filed under the name Homo sapiens (human). Its description in RNAcentral is "long intergenic non-protein coding RNA 2465". The record is from RNAcentral. Lineage: Eukaryota; Metazoa; Chordata; Mammalia; Primates; Hominidae.
AGGAACCAUGGCUCACUGGAGCACCAUCUUUGGAGUCUAGCUAACACAGCAUCUUGGAUGCACUCCUAAGAGAAGACUACCUGAAAGGCGUGUACACUGGUCUAGCAGUUGAGAUCAGCUAGUGUUCCAUCUAUCUUCUGUCAUGUAUCUCUUCUAAGAUGUCUUGAUCGACUGACCCCAAAGCCAGAGGGUACCAGGUCAAAAAGCAAGAAAACAAACAAUACUGACAUUAGAGAGAAGCAAAGUUUCUAUAGAAAACCUAUUACACUGUGGUAUAAAUCAAGAUGAACCUGCAGACAUCUAUUUUAGUUUGGAAGUCUGGAAAAGUUCAAGAUUGGCCAUCUGCAGCUGGUGAGAGCCUCAGGCUGCUUCCCCUCAUGGUGGAAGGUGAAGGGGAGCUGGUGUGUGCAGAGAUUACAUGCUUUUCUAGGUCAUCAUUCUAGGCUUUGUUGAAGCAUGCAUUUUUGGCAUGAGGGUGGCAGCCUUUGCACUAUGUGCAUGGCUGAGGAGUUAGGAUCUGGAGGGUGAUGAAAGCAAAGGUGCUGCUGGUUACUCUUGGUUCAUCUAGCAAUAGAUGAUCUGAAUGUUAGAGUUCGCCAAAUAUUGUUCCUGGGCAGUCUUUGCUCUACCAAAUCAACUUUCUCCAUGGGGGAGCUAGAAGUCACCCCACAUUCUCCGCCAUGGCCAGCUCUACAUUCUAAGAGAUGACAAAGACACAAGGAGCCAAGACAGAUCAUUCAAGCAUAUUCAUUGCCUCUAUCUUCAUCCCAUUAAAUAACAUCCCGCCAACCAAAGCAAGUUAUCUGCAUAAGAAUAAAUAUUCCACCUACUCUACUGCAAGGCCCUGCAAGAGUCAUGAGACAAAAGGCAAAUGCAUUUGUUUCCCUCUAUUCAUUAUUAGAAGAGAGGAGAUUACAUACCAGACAUAUACCAAUAGGUUUUCUCUUCAUAAUACCUACGUCAUCUAGUAGCAUAACAUAAGGCAGAAUCCUUCAAAGAUUUUCACCUGAACUUUUCUUGAGCAUCUCUAGACAGUCACAUGCAGAAUAACAACUGGGUUUUAGGACUCCUGUUCACCACCACUACCUCUACACAUAGCAGAUCCACGUAAGACACUUGCAUCCAAGACAAGUCAGAAUGAUUACAUAUGAAAGUUUUAAUUGCACUGUAUGGGGAUAUUGCUGUGUUGUGAAUUAAAUAAGAAUUCAUAUUUUCUUA